AUGUCCCCAGCCACGUCUCCACCCUGCAGGGCUCUGUGCAGUGUCCCUGUGUCCCCAAGGAUGUCCCCAGCUGUGUUGCUCCCUGAAAAGCCCCACUGUGUCCCCAGGGUGAGCCCUGGUCACCUCUCACAGCGUCCGUGGGGAGAUGGAUCCCACCCCCCUCCUGGGAAUGGGAGAGCCACAGGGGAGUGUGAGAUGCAGGCAGGACUGGGAGCAGUGGGAGCAGUGGGAGCAGUGGGAUCACUGGGAGCAGUGGGAUCACUGGGAGCAGUAAGAUCAGUGGGAUCACUGGGAGCAGUGGGAUCACUGGGAGCAGUGGGAUCACUGGGAGCAGUGGGAUCACUGGGAGCUCACUGCUGUGGGGAUGUGUCCUGUCCCCAUCAGGGCCCCCAAGUCGGGGUGCCCCAGGUGGGGUGUGGCUGGCGGGGGCUGUGCCCAGCCAGGGCUCGGGGUGGGGGCUGCAGGGUGCCAGGGCAGCACUGGCCUGCGCCCCCCAUGUCCCCGUGCCAGCAGGGGGUGCCGUGGCCCCCGUGGGCAGGGCGCCCCGGGGCAGGGCCCUGCAGGGAACACUGAGCGCUUUCCUUUUUUUAAUCUCGCUAUUUUCUUACGGAAGCCCCUCCCCUGGCAUGACGGUCCUAGAGGCGUUUAUUAACAGAUCAGAGAGUAUAGGUUUAUAAAUUCUUAUAGAGUAGUGGAAAUAUUUUUAUCCCUCCACAAACAUUCUCAAUAAAUAUACGGCUGACCCGGCUUGUCUGCAACCCCGCGUGGCUUCCACCGAAUGGGGGCAUCCCCCGACCCUGGGCAUCCCCCGACCCUGGGCAUCCCCCG
Molecule: long non-coding RNA, 828 nt
Filed under: Ficedula albicollis (Collared flycatcher)
Lineage: Eukaryota; Metazoa; Chordata; Aves; Passeriformes; Muscicapidae
Description: lncRNA (ENSFALG00000027553.1)
Source: RNAcentral